GAUGAAGAACGCAGCGAAAUGCGAUAAGUAAUGCGAAUUGCAGAAUUCCAGUGAGUCAUCGAAUCUUUGAACGCACAUUGCGCCCUUUGGUAUUCCGAAGGGCAUGCCUGUUCGAGCGUCAUUAUCACCCCUCAAGCCCUCGGCUUGGUGUUGGACGGUUUGGUGGAGGCACCCUCGGGGGCUCCUGCCCCUCCCAAAGACAAUGACGGCGGCCUCGUUGGACCCCCGGUACACUGAGUUCUUCACGGGACACGUAUCGGACACAUGGGUUUACGGGACACGGUCUGCCUCCCCUCAGGGAGAAUCUUUCUAAGGUUGACCUCGGAUCAGGUAGGGAUACCCGCUGAACUUAAGCAUAUCAAUAAGCGGAGGA
Molecule: unclassified non-coding RNA, 373 nt
Filed under: soil metagenome
Description: partial contains 5.8S ribosomal RNA, internal transcribed spacer 2, and large subunit ribosomal RNA
Rfam family: 5.8S ribosomal RNA (bases 1-121)
Source: RNAcentral